AACGAACGCUGGCGGCAGGCCUAACACAUGCAAGUCGAACGCUCGUAGCAAUACGAGAGUGGCAGACGGGUGAGUAACACGUGGGAACCUUCCCUAUGGUUCGGAAUAGCUCAGGGAAACUUGGGGUAAUACCGGAUAAGCCCUUCGGGGAAGGAUUAUCGCCAUUGGAUGGGCCCGGCCGUCGGAUUAGCUAGUUGGUGAGGUAACGGCUCACCAAGGCAACGAUCCGUAGCUGGUCUGAGAGGAUGAUCAGCCACACU
Molecule: ribosomal RNA, 260 nt
Filed under: uncultured bacterium
Lineage: Bacteria
Description: partial 16S ribosomal RNA
Rfam family: Bacterial small subunit ribosomal RNA
Source: RNAcentral